AACAGGCUGUGUAAUGGGGGAAGCCCAUGGCCUAAAAUAAGACACAGGCACACAUGAAGCAGGCUGUCCACCAUCUUGCCUGUUUGAUAUCUUUUCUUUUGGUUUAGAUGUAUUUUGCAAAUGUUUACAUUCAAAGCACGCCUAAUACAUUUUGCAGUUAGUACAAAAGAAAGACCAAAUGGUGCAGCUGCACUGAAAACAUUUAUUUGCUGAAAUGUUCUUCAUCUUUUCUCACUUUUACAUUUGUCUCCUCCGCUGUCAUUGAACAGGAACUGCCAAACCUGCACUGGAGCGUUCCACUGGUCUAAGUAGAGGGAUGCACAGAGGAGGAGACCAAGUGUGGUGGAGUAGGGGGGUGUUUUGUUUCAUUUGAGGGUUUUUGUCAUUGAAACCGUUGUUUUUGAUUAAAACAUAUUUAAAAAUUGAAUUAAUAGCAUGUAUAAUUGAUAAUAUCCUGAAUUUGUAUAUUGCAGCCCUUGUGAACAAUUUGUAUUAGAUAACUGAUUUUGUGUCUUGAGUAGGUAGAGCCCACCUGUAUAAAAGGCAGAAGGGAGGGGUAAAAGUGGACUGAUUGAAAGAGGGAAGCGCAGCUGCAGCUGCAGCCCACAGCUCCUGCCCUGGGCUCUUUGUUUUUUCCUUUAAGUUUUCUGCCCUAUUUCCCAUUUCCUUUUGUGUACUCUACAAUCUUUGAGGAAAAAAUUAUUUUAUUUAGGAUUUUUCCCAUUUUUUGCUUCUGUCUUGGCCAACAAUUUUUCACUACAAAUAUCUGCACUGGAUCCACUGCUGUAAAUGAAAUCCACUUGGACUGCGAUUCCUUAUCCACGUGUUGGCUUCUCAGCCAAUCAUCACAGACUGCCACUGAGAUUGCAGUUUGAAAAUGAGGAUUCCAUCACCCUUGUGAGAUUAAUUCCCAGUGGUGCAGGGUGUCCAUGGAGCAGAAAGCUCCAGAAGAACAUCCAAUUCAGCGGACAUGUAGUGUAGCUGGGAGGAAGCAUCGCACCACCAGAGACGGGAAGAUAACCAGCUGGAGGGGUUGCACAAUGGAGCGACCACGGGAGGAGAGCAACUGGAUCGGCAGCCAACGGAGCAACAUGCGAGCCACAACACAGCUGCACGGAGCUCGCCGACCCAAAUGGACGAAGAAAGAAGGUCUAUGGCCGCACGGACAAGUCGGGAGGAUAAGCAACCCUGUGCCGUGACACAGACUGUAGACUGCUGCCCAAAUGUGUCCCUUUGGAGGCCAGUUGAACCCGCGAUGACAGAGCCAUAGGGAUGGUCAAUUCAACAAACAGCUCAGGACAAACUUCCAGUGGACAAUUAGCAGCAAAGUUUGCAGACACUUAAGUACCCAGUUACCCUUUUUGUCUUUUAAAGGAUCUUUUGAAGAGACUUCACUUUUAAACGGACUUUCUAUUGUUGAAUUAUAUAUUAACUUGUCUUUUAAAAAGCUUAACGUGUUACUUAGUGCUUGAAUAAGAAUUGUGGCAGUUACUAAAUUGGUUUCAUCAUUGUUUUAUUUCAAUUCAUUGUUAAGGAGUUUUAGUCUUCCCCUUUUACUCCUUGGUCCGAGCACAGUAAAUUUCACGUUGCCAAUUUCUCAUCUCAGAGAAAUUAUUUCUGAAAACAUCAGCCAUUGAGGACCAUAUAAAGGAGUAAUGGGUGGCAACAAGCCAGGCACUGCC
Molecule: long non-coding RNA, 1682 nt
Organism: Amphiprion ocellaris (clown anemonefish)
Lineage: Eukaryota; Metazoa; Chordata; Actinopteri; Pomacentridae
Exons: 4
Source: RefSeq, a predicted model, not a curated record